GACUACUAGCUAAUUCUAUCAUCCGGACCAUCACUCCGUUCCCCGACUCAUCCCAGCUACGUUCUUAUUUCCUGAAGAGAACAGUGAAAGAAAGGGUGAGCUCAACUAGCCCAGUAAGAAAUAUUAUGACUAAGAUAAUAAAGAAUAAAUUAUCAUUAGUCUCCAGCAAUGUUGAACUGAUAAAAUACAAUAGACAUCAAGUUUAACUGCAGCGGUACAAGCAAUCCAUUAAAAGAG
RNAcentral lists this long non-coding RNA (237 nucleotides) under Panax ginseng (ginseng). Its description in RNAcentral is "long non-coding RNA (PGIN_LNC008524)". The record is from RNAcentral. Lineage: Eukaryota; Viridiplantae; Streptophyta; Magnoliopsida; Apiales; Araliaceae.